Molecule: ribosomal RNA, 603 nt
Filed under: Bacillus sp. PSu5_22
Lineage: Bacteria; Bacillati; Bacillota; Bacilli; Caryophanales; Bacillaceae
Description: bacterial SSU rRNA
Rfam family: Bacterial small subunit ribosomal RNA
Source: RNAcentral
CAGUCGAGCGGACCGACGGGAGCUUGCUCCCUUAGGUCAGCGGCGGACGGGUGAGUAACACGUGGGUAACCUGCCUGUAAGACUGGGAUAACUCCGGGAAACCGGGGCUAAUACCGGAUGCUUGAUUGAACCGCAUGGUUCAAUCAUGAAAGGCGGCUUCGGCUGCCGUUUACAGAUGGACCCGCGGCGCAUUAGCUAGUUGGUGAGGUAACGGCUCACCAAGGCGACGAUGCGUAGCCGACCUGAGAGGGUGAUCGGCCACACUGGGACUGAGACACGGCCCAGACUCCUACGGGAGGCAGCAGUAGGGAAUCUUCCGCAAUGGACGAAAGUCUGACGGAGCAACGCCGCGUGAGUGAUGAAGGUUUUCGGAUCGUAAAGCUCUGUUGUUAGGGAAGAACAAGUACCGUUCGAAUAGGGCGGUACCUUGACGGUACCUAACCAGAAAGCCACGGCUAACUACGUGCCAGCAGCCGCGGUAAUACGUAGGUGGCAAGCGUUGUCCGGAAUUAUUGGGCGUAGAGCGCGCGCAGGCGGUUUCUUAAGUCUGAUGUGAAAGCCCCCGGCUCAACCGGGGAGGGUCAUUGGAAACUGGGGAACUUG